This 496-nucleotide ribosomal RNA is filed under the name uncultured bacterium. Its description in RNAcentral is "partial 16S ribosomal RNA". It matches the Rfam family "Bacterial small subunit ribosomal RNA", at positions 29 to 507 of the family's 1533-position model. The record is from RNAcentral.
AUGAACGCUGGCGGCGUGCCUAAUCCAUGCAAGUCGAGCGCACAGAUGAGGAGCUUGCUCCUCUGACGUUAGCGGCGGACGGGUGAGUAACACGUGGAUAACCUACCUAUAAGACUGGGAUAACUUCGGGAAACCGGAGCUAAUACCGGAUAAUAUAUUGAACCGCAUGGUUCAAUAGUGAAAGACGGUUUUGCUGUCACUUAUAGAUGGAUCCGCGCCGCAUUAGCUAGUUGGUAAGGUAACGGCUUACCAAGGCAACGAUGCGUAGCCGACCUGAGAGGGUGAUCGGCCACACUGGAACUGAGACACGGUCCAGACUCCUACGGGAGGCAGCAGUAGGGAAUCUUCCGCAAUGGGCGAAAGCCUGACGGAGCAACGCCGCGUGAGUGAUGAAGGUCUUCGGAUCGUAAAACUCUGUUAUUAGGGAAGAACAAAUGUGUAAGUAACUAUGCACGUCUUGACGGUACCUAAUCAGAAAGCCACGGCUAACUACGUG